This 341-nucleotide long non-coding RNA is filed under the name Solanum tuberosum (potato). RNAcentral's name for it is "long non-coding RNA (STUB_LNC005562)". The record is from RNAcentral. Lineage: Eukaryota; Viridiplantae; Streptophyta; Magnoliopsida; Solanales; Solanaceae.
CGAAGGUAAUUUUAUUUUUAUUUUUUAAGAUAAAAAAAUUAUAAAAUAAUAAUAAAAGAAAUCAGAAAUGGAAGUGAUGGAAAGAAAACUACAUCUUGAAUAAUUUGAAAUCAUUAAUUGGAAAUAGAAAAGAUUUGAAAUUCAAAAAUAGAUUAAUUGAUGUAAUUAUGGAGAGAUUUGGCGUGGCAAAAGGAAGGAAAAUCAUGGGUAUGAGAUUUCAAAUUAAUGUAUCCGGAAAAGGGGAUGAUGGGAGGAAAAAACGAGAUUUUUGAUAUUUUUUGAAAUGGCAGGGAAAAUAAGAAAAUAUGAUAAUAAAUGGUGUGUAGUUAAGUAAUUUUUCC